GUAAAAUUACCCAGGAGCAAAAAAGCCGUUGUGUAAGGGGUCAGGAAUACACGGAAGAGCUGCUGACAUCAGGCGCCACUAGGAACCCACAUGUAUUUCCUUGUGUAAACACAUGUGGCCAGAAGGCGUCCGUGGUCACUUUGCUCCCUCCAGAGCUGGUCUCUAUGAAACAGCCGGCAGAAGCAGCAAACAAUACGACUAUUAUUAUUUGGAGGACAGGAGCAAAACUCUGCAAAAAGAAAAGGUUUUUUGAGAGGCGAACAAUUGAAGCCAUGAUUGUGGGACACUCGCUCGGCUAUUAAACCAUCAACAACUGUAUUGCGCC
Molecule: non-coding RNA, 325 nt
Organism: Pelobates cultripes (western spadefoot toad)
Lineage: Eukaryota; Metazoa; Chordata; Amphibia; Anura; Pelobatidae
Source: the annotation of a GenBank genome assembly